AUUGGUCUUUUGGGACAGAUCAGUGACACACCACGAUCCACGAGUGCGUUAUCACCAUGGGAUGAAGAAUUCACCAAUGCUCAGAUAAGGCACCUCCUAUCAGAACAAAAGGAAUUCUCUGGAUCUUGCUAAAAGUCUCGUGGGCGGCACAGAACAGGCACUGAGCUUAGCAGCGCUACGAGAAGCGUGAGAUAAGGCACACGCAGCUCCCGUACCUGAGAUACCAACACUAUGCCACCCAGUUUUUGGACCUGAGAACAUCCUUUGAACCUGCCGCUGGUGUGGCUGAGCUGCUGUGACUUUGACCUUUCACCUCAGGGCAGAGUUGGUUUCAGAUGAGAAUCAUCUAUUCCGUGAGUUCAGCAUGAACAAUUGCCACCCUUAGCAAACAGAGAGAUGUUGAUAUCUAUGCAGAGCCGAAUUCUAGGCGGGUUUAGUACAACCAAAUUAUCACAUUUGUUCACCUUCAUAGCUUUAGUGCCCUGAAAGAUCCUCUUCAUACACCUGACCAGGACUUUGGAACAAGUAAUGUUGAGACAGCCCUGAAGAAUCCAUCCUGGUUUUAUAUAAGACCCACUUUAUGCAGGGACAGGAUA
Long non-coding RNA from Mauremys mutica (yellowpond turtle), 596 nucleotides. RefSeq lists it as uncharacterized. The transcript is spliced from 3 exons. NCBI's taxonomy places the organism in Eukaryota, Metazoa, Chordata, Testudines, Geoemydidae. The record is from RefSeq and is a predicted model, not a curated record.